GGGGUUAUGGCUCAGUGGUAGAGUGCUCACCCAGCACGUGAGGUACUAGGUUCGAUCCUCAGCACCA
Molecule: transfer RNA, 67 nt
Filed under: Marmota monax (woodchuck)
Lineage: Eukaryota; Metazoa; Chordata; Mammalia; Rodentia; Sciuridae
Description: tRNA.Ala
Source: RNAcentral